UUUCGCUCCAAGAAGGAUGUUUUCCGCUAUUUACAAACUGGAGACAUCAGUAGUUGUGCUAUAAGACCUGUCAAAAGGGAUCUAGAUGCUGCAAUGACGGAUAGUUCUCCCACAACAGUUGACACCAAUUCGAAGAAAUUAGUGUGCUCUGUAACCGAAAGGCAACCUUUUGCUGCCAAGGAAUCCAGAGGUCGAAAACGUUCAGUUACUUGUUCACCAAAAGUACAAGCUGAGAGUUCCAAGAAACAGCCUGAAAGCAGUGCAUCCAAUGCAAACACUAUUAUUACAUCAUCUGAAGCUGAUAUUAUUGUGAAGCAAAAUGCUGAAAUAAGUCUAGACACAGAGCCAGAAAUAAGAGACUCAAGUGCAGACACAAAAGUCAUAGAUGCUGAAAGUAACGCUAUCAAAAGGUUAUCAGCUGUCUCAACCCCUCAGUCAGAUCUACCCUCAGAGCAGCAAUUACCAGAAAAUGAGCCCGAAAAGCAUAUUAGUAAAGAAAAACCGGAGCAGUCAAGAAGAUCCAGAGCUAAGAAACCACUCACACCUGGUCGGCGGAUCUCAAAAAGACUUGUGGGCCACAGCCCAGAACCGGUGGCUGAUUUGGAUCUAGGUGAACGUGCUUUUCGAGCUGUUGUUAAGAAAUCUGCCUCUUUGGGCAUCCCCCUGAAUGUCUCUGGUCAGGAAUUUUCCCAGAACAAAGAUCCUACAGUAGGAACUGGCAAUUCUGAUCAG
This 732-nucleotide unclassified non-coding RNA is filed under the name Hevea brasiliensis (rubber tree). The record is from RNAcentral. Lineage: Eukaryota; Viridiplantae; Streptophyta; Magnoliopsida; Malpighiales; Euphorbiaceae.